RNAcentral lists this ribosomal RNA (332 nucleotides) under uncultured bacterium. RNAcentral's name for it is "bacterial SSU rRNA". It matches the Rfam family "Bacterial small subunit ribosomal RNA", at positions 568 to 898 of the family's 1533-position model. The record is from RNAcentral.
CUCGUAGGCGGCCAACUAAGUCAGACGUGAAAUCCCUCGGCUUAACCGGGGAACUGCGUCUGAUACUGGAUGGCUUGAGAUUGGGAGAGGGAUGCGGAAUUCCAGGUGUAGCGGUGAAAUGCGUAGAUAUCUGGAGGAACACCGGUGGCGAAGGCGGCAUCCUGGACCAACACUGACGCUGAGGAGCGAAAGCCAGGGGAGCAAACGGGAUUAGAUACCCCGGUAGUCCUGGCCCUAAACGAUGAAUGCUUGGUGUGACGGGUAUCGAUCCCUGUCGUGCCGAAGCUAACGCAUUAAGCAUUCCGCCUGGGGAGUACGGUCGCAAGGCUGAA